Long non-coding RNA from Amborella trichopoda, 105 nucleotides. RefSeq lists it as uncharacterized. The record is from RefSeq and is a predicted model, not a curated record. NCBI's taxonomy places the organism in Eukaryota, Viridiplantae, Streptophyta, Magnoliopsida, Amborellales, Amborellaceae.
CAAUUUAUUCGUUGCCUCAGGAUGUCGUCACACGUUAACUUACCCCAAAAUGAGAAUGAGAAGAGUUCUUCAUAUGAUUCUUCAUAUUGGGAGGGACGCUAUAUC